Molecule: long non-coding RNA, 577 nt
Organism: Sphaeramia orbicularis (orbiculate cardinalfish)
Lineage: Eukaryota; Metazoa; Chordata; Actinopteri; Kurtiformes; Apogonidae
Exons: 2
Source: RefSeq, a predicted model, not a curated record
UUCUGGUGUCAUCGUGAUGGUUGCAAUUAUGACUCGUAUAGACACAGGUCAUUUACACCAGAAUCUACAAUCUCUGAUUGGGAGGGUAAAGAUUUCUGUCUCGAAAAUCUGUUUGACGAAUCCAGACCAGACUCCCCACAAUCAGUUUUAUCAGACCUUGAACUUGACAGGUUUUUCAGUACCAGGGCCUUGUCCCCAGACUCUGUGUCUUCCGACUUUGACUUUGCACUCCUCCAGGACUGGCUGAAAGACUUCAGAUCAUCUUCACCGGAAUCCGUGGCCUCAGUUGAACAGUGUUACUGGACUCCUCACAUGAUAUUCGGCCAGGAGACAAGUAAACACUGUAAUUAUUUCCUACAUUACUCUGGGAGCAGACCUGUAUCACCUCAAUCAGCAGUGUCAGAUAUUGAGGAUUACACAUUUUGUCUGGAAGAAUUAUUUGACGACACCAGACCAGAUUCCCCAGAUUCAUUUACUUCAGGCAUUGAAACUAAAAGUACUUUUGGCGUAUUCUCAUCCAAAGCCUUUCCCACUUCAAGACCUCUUACAUAUGCAGAUGUAGUGCGAGGCAUUGCAC